GGCUAAAACAUGCAAGUCGAACGCGAAAGUCACUUCGGUGGCGAGUAGAGUGGCGAAAGGGCGAGUAAUGCAUUCCUACGUGCCUUAAGGCCAGGGAUAGCGACUGGAAACGGUCGGUAAUACCUGAUAAUCCGGCAACGGCAAAGGCUGGUCGCCAGGGGAGCGGGGAACGUCCUAUCAGGUUGUUGGUGAGGUAAAAGCUCACCAAGCCUAAGACGGGUAGCGGGUGUGAGAGCAUGACCCGCCGCAUCGGGACUGAGACACUGCCCGGACUCCUACGGGAGGCUGCAGUAACGAAUAUUCCGCAAUGCGCGAAAGCGUGACGGAGCAAUGCCGCGUGCAGGAUGAAGCCUCUAGGGGUGUAAACUGCUGUCAGGGUUUAGGAAUAAUGACCAGACCCAAAGGAAGGGCCGGCUAACUUCGUGCCAGCAGCCGCGGUAAUACGAAGGGCCCGAGCGUUGCGCGGAAUCACUGGGCUUAAAGCGUGCGCAGGCGGAUCUGUAAGUACCUUGUGAAAUCCCAUGGCUCAACCAUGGAACUGCUCGGUAUACUGCAAAUCUUGAGAUCGGUAGGGGCCAUCGGAACGAUAGGUGGAGCGGUGAAAUGCGUAGAUAUCUAUCGGAACGCCUAAGGCGAAGGCAGGCUACUGGGCUGGACCUGACGCUGAGACACGAAAGCAUGGGUAGCGAACAGGAUUAGAUACCCUGGUAGUCCAUGCCGUAAACGAUGUGCACUAGAUCCCGGAGGCUCUGACGCCAUCGGGGUCGAAGAUAAAUUGAUAAGUGCACCGCCUGGGGAGUACGGUCGCAAGGCUAAAACUCAAAGGAAUUGACGGGGGAUCACACAAGCGGUGGAGCAUGUGGCUUAAUUCGAGGCAACGCGAAGAACCUUAUCCUGGGUUUGACAUGCAUGGAUUAGCUUCUAGAAACAGGAGCCACACUCUUUGAGUGAAACGUGCACAGGUGCUGCAUGGCUGUCGUCAGCUCGUGCUGUGAAGUGUCGGGUUAAGUCCCUUAACGAGCGAAACCCCUAUCUUUAGUUGCCAGCGAGUAAUGUCGGGGACUCUAGAGAGACUGCCGGUGUUAAACCGGAGGAAGGUGGGGAUGACGUCAAGUCCUCAUGGCCUUUAUGCCCUGGGCUGCACACGUGCUACAAUGCGGCGUACAGAGCGAAGCAAUAUCGUAAGGUGGAGCAAAUCGCACAAAGCGCCGCUCAGUUCGGAUUGUGGUCUGCAACUCGACCACAUGAAGCUGGAAUCGCUAGUAAUCGCGUAUCAGCUACGACGCGGUGAAUACGUUCCUGAGCCUUGUACACACCGCCCGUCAAGUCAUGGAAGCCGGUAGUGCCCGAAGUGGCCCUGAAUCAAGGGUCCCUACGGCAAGAUCGGUGACUGGGACUAAGUCGU
This 1405-nucleotide ribosomal RNA is filed under the name uncultured prokaryote. RNAcentral describes it as "partial 16S ribosomal RNA". It matches the Rfam family "Bacterial small subunit ribosomal RNA". The record is from RNAcentral.